RNAcentral lists this long non-coding RNA (872 nucleotides) under Homo sapiens (human). RNAcentral describes it as "HSALNT0111091". The record is from RNAcentral. Lineage: Eukaryota; Metazoa; Chordata; Mammalia; Primates; Hominidae.
GAAGCCAGGAUUCAAGCCCAGGCAGUUGUUUCAGAGUACAGGCCCUUAGCCUCUAACAAGGUACCUACCCUUGGUCUUAUCUACCACACAUUUUCCCCCAGGAAACAGCCCAUUUUCAGAGUUGUGACUAUCACCUGAAGUCGCAAAAUCUUGAUCUCCAAGUCUCACCUGUCCAACUGCUGGCUAAACUUCAACCUGGAUGUUCAGCAUAUUAUAAAACCAAUGCAUCUUCUUCACAGUCCUGAAACCUCUUUCCCAAACUGUCACCAAUUCUUUAGCAUCCUUCCCACCCUUGGCCAAUCUGGGCAAUUAUGAUCCUAUCUUCCCCUAAGUUUCAGAUACAUUUAUGUCUAUACCAGUAAUCCCCAAACACUGAUUUCCAACCAAGUUUACAAUGGUGCAUAUAAAAAAGAGAAAAAUAGUAAUGUGCUAUUCAUUUUUAAAAACCUGUCUUUUAUUCUGAGAUAAUUCCUACUAUUUACUGUUAGAAUGUUUUUGUUUUUCCUUUUAUGAAAAAAUGAUAAUAGAUAAUAGUUCAUUUUAUAUUUUUUUCUUAGUGAACUAAAACAUUAACAAUACUAUAAUGAUUCCCAAAGUUAGCUGCUCUGAAAAUUUACUAACCUAGGAAAUUUUUAUAUCAGCAAUCUUUUUUUUUCCCUCAAAAAUGGCAGAUUAGAGGCUUUGUUAGCAUACCUCAUCCAUUUGGAAAUAACAAAAUAGUGUGUAGAGAUUCAUACUGUGAACUUUUAUACAAGAAGGAACACAGGAGCUUAACACAAAAGUGAAAGAAACUUCAGAUACUUUGAAAAAUAAGAGCGGGCAGCAGCUUGCACUGCAGGUCAAGCAGAAAACUGAUGUGAAUUCCCAGUAUG